Molecule: ribosomal RNA, 339 nt
Filed under: uncultured Pseudomonadota bacterium
Lineage: Bacteria; Pseudomonadati; Pseudomonadota
Description: bacterial SSU rRNA
Rfam family: Bacterial small subunit ribosomal RNA
Source: RNAcentral
AACAAACGCUGGCGGCGUGCCUAACACAUGCAAGUCGUACGAGAAAGGGUCCUUCGGGACCUGAGUAAAGUGGCGCACGGGUGAGUAACGCGUGGAUAAUCUGCCCUUCAGUUGGGAAUAACUCACCGAAAGGUGGGCUAAUACCGAAUAACGCUGUGAGACUUUGGUCGAUCAGCCAAAGAGAGCCUCUGCUUGCAUGCCCUCGCUGAAGGAUGAGUCCGCGUACCAUUAGCUAGUUGGUAGGGUAAUGGCCUACCAAGGCGACGAUGGUUAGCUGGUCUGAGAGGAUGAUCAGCCACACUGGAACUGAGACACGGUCCAGACUCCUACGGGAGGCAG